UGAAUCCAAUCUUUCUUUGUAAAAGUCAUAAAGUUUAUCAAACUGAUUUCAAAGUGAAGGAUUCAUUAGUUUGAAUAAACAUUGAACCAAACACUAUAAUAACAUCUUAGUUGAUCAUUCAAGAUACUUUAUUUUUGACAAAACAUCCAUGUUUCGGUCGUGACAGUAAUGUGUUGGUAGUGACUCACAUACUAAAACAUAUUAAAAUACUAAUGAUUUGCAUAACUGUACUAAAAUUUUGUUUAUUUCCCCCAAAUAAACUAUUAUGUGUACUUUUGUCACUACCGAAACAAUGACGUCACUACCGAAACUUCACCACGUUUCGGUAGUGAGUGUUUCGGUAAUGACAAUUUUAGAUAGCUAGCACAGUUCUGAGCAGUUGGAAUAUAAAAUAACACCCAAAAAACAAUGAUUUCACUACUGAAACAGUCAUGACCGAAACAUGGCGAUGUUUUGGUAGUGACAAUUUUAUUUACUUUUGAGCCGCUCAAAGAUGCUAAUCAGCACAUGGUUCGCUAGCACAGUUCUGAACAGUUGUACACAUAUAAAAACUACAUUUUAUGGAAUAACACCCAAAAAACAAUGAUUUCACUACUGAAACAGUCAUGACCGAAACAUGGCGAUGUUUUGGUAGUGACAAUUUUAUUUGCUUUUGAGCCGCUCAAAGAUGCUAAUCAGCACAUGGUUCGCUAGCACAGUUCUGAACAGUUGUACACAUAUAAAAACUACAUUUUAUGGAAUAACACCCAAAAAAGUUUGCUUAAUUGCAGAAAAAGGUGUUUGUUAGUGACGUUCCUUAAAGUUCCACACAGAUUUUCAGACGUUUGAACACAUUUAGCUCAGAAUGAUGGACCUAUCUACUGUGAAAGAGGCGAUGAGAGGGAGGAACACAGGAAUAUUUCCUGAUCAGAAAUGUAGAAGUGUGUUAAAAUCAGUCUCAGACAAUGAAAAACACACACUGUUUCGGUAGUGACAUGAACAUGAGGGACACAUUUUUUUACAUAAAGUUUCAUGAUUUAAAGAUAAAAUAUGAAAUAAAUAUAUUUUUUAACUUCACUUUAAAAAAAAACAAAACUAAUAUAUAUUUUUAAAAACAAUAAUGGAAAAAAUUGCAAAAAUUAUUAUUAUUUUCACAAGUUGAAAUGUAGGGGUUAGGGUUCGGGACAGCCAAUUGAAAGUACCCAGUAAAUGAUGAUUUUAUAUAUAUUAAUCUUACUGAUAUUUUAAAUAUUAUUGUGGGAUUCAAUAGAUAAUAGAAGGAUCUUAGUAAACAUCUUAAAUUUGAAGACUUAAAUUUAACUUGUACACAAACAAUAGAACCUUAAUCUGAAUUCUAAACUCAAUAGGAAGCCAAUGUAACCUCAUCAAAACAGGAGUGAUACUUUCCCUCUUUCUAGUCCCUGUUAAAGUCGGGCCGCAGCAUUUUGGACCAGCUGAAGAGCCGGGUCAAAAAUGACACCCAGAUUCCCAACAGAGUUAGUCACAGGAGUAAGGGAUUCAAUCCAGCAGUGACUGAAGAGAUAUGCUGUCAUCAAGAGGCGAGUGAAGGAGGCGUCCAGAUUCCUCAGGCAAUGAUGAUGACCACCGGUCAACCAAUAGAGCCCCAAUCAACAAUCAACAUGUGAUUUAAUGAGAAAAAAUCAUUCAUUUAAUCAGCAUACAGAGAGCAGUGAAACAUUUUACUGUUAGACAAUAUAUAUGUGCAUCAUAUUACACACUAGUCACAAAUAACAGAGCAAAUAUCGGUCAGCGUGUUCAAAACCUCAUACUAUUAUUCAUUUGAGUAAAUUAUUAAUACAAAUCAUGAAUGAUGUACAUUGUUAGCUUAUCAAGAAAAAUAUAUAAUAAUAUAAAGGUAAUAAACAAGUCAAGUCAAGUCACCUUUAUUUAUAUAGUGCUUUUUACAAUGUAGAUUGUG
Molecule: long non-coding RNA, 1918 nt
Organism: Ctenopharyngodon idella (grass carp)
Lineage: Eukaryota; Metazoa; Chordata; Actinopteri; Cypriniformes; Xenocyprididae
Exons: 3
Source: RefSeq, a predicted model, not a curated record